This is a non-coding RNA of Pelobates cultripes (western spadefoot toad), 298 nucleotides long. NCBI's taxonomy places the organism in Eukaryota, Metazoa, Chordata, Amphibia, Anura, Pelobatidae. The record is from the annotation of a GenBank genome assembly.
CUUUUCCAAACAGACUAACAGGGUAUCUGACCUCCUGCUGGUCAGUGCCCUUGUUAGUCCAGCAGCCCACCUACAAAACACAAUCAACGGCACAGCCCACCCACAAUAAAUGGUUACUACACCGGGGUAGAGGAGAAGCUUGUCCAUAUCUAGGGGCCUCACCAUGGCUGUGCUGGGUACGGGUAUGCUGACUUGGUGGGUUGCUGAGUGGGCAGAGACCAGCGGUACUCUGCCCUGGUGCCAGCGCUACUGGGAAGGUAGCCUGGUUGAAGCCUGGUUGUUGGAGGGGGAGACCGAC